GAUGAAGAACGUAGCGAAAUGCGAUAAGUAGUGUGAAUUGCAGAAUUCAGUGAAUCAUCAAAUCUUUGAACGCACAUUGCGCCCCUUGGUAUUCCAUGGGGCAUGCCUGUUCGAGCGUCAUUUGUACCUUCAAGCUCUGCUUGGUGUUGGGUGUUUGUCUCGCCUCUGCGUGUAGACUCGCCUCAAAACAAUUGGCAGCCGGCGUAUUGAUUUCGGAGCGCAGUACAUCUCGCGCUUUGCACUCAUAACGACGACGUCCAAAAGUACAUUUUUACACUCUUGACCUCGGAUCAGGUAGGGAUACCCGCUGAACUUAAGCAUAUCAAUAGCGGAGGA
Molecule: unclassified non-coding RNA, 336 nt
Filed under: soil metagenome
Description: partial contains 5.8S ribosomal RNA, internal transcribed spacer 2, and large subunit ribosomal RNA
Rfam family: 5.8S ribosomal RNA (bases 1-120)
Source: RNAcentral